GGGGUCUAAUACCGGAUAUCACUUCGGACUUCAUGGUUUGGGGUUGAAAGUUCUGGCGGUUGGGGAUGGGCUCGCGGCCUAUCAGCUUGUUGGUGGGGUAAUGGCCUACCAAGGCGUCGACGGGUAGCCGGCCUGAGAGGGCGACCGGCCACACUGGGACUGAGACACGGCCCAGACUCCUACGGGAGGCAGCAGUGGGGAAUAUUGCGCAAUGGGCGAAAGCCUGACGCAGCAACGCCGCGUGAGGGAUGACGGCCUUCGGGUUGUAAACCUCUUUCAGCAGGGACGAAGCGAGAGUGACGGUACCUGCAGAAGAAGGACCGGCCAACUACGUGCCAGCAGCCGCGGUAAUACGUAGGGUCCGAGCGUUGUCCGGAAUUAUUGGGCGUAAAGGGCUCGUAGGCGGUUCGUCACGUCGGGAGUGAAAACUCGGAGCUUAACUCCGAGCCUGCUUCCGAUACGGGCAGACUAGAGGUAGGCAGGGGAGAGCGGAACUCCUGGUGUAGCGGUGGAAUGCGCAGAUAUCAGGAAGAACACCGGUGGC
RNAcentral lists this ribosomal RNA (544 nucleotides) under Kribbella sp. RNAcentral's name for it is "bacterial SSU rRNA". It matches the Rfam family "Bacterial small subunit ribosomal RNA", at positions 158 to 716 of the family's 1533-position model. Lineage: Bacteria; Bacillati; Actinomycetota; Actinomycetes; Propionibacteriales; Kribbellaceae. The record is from RNAcentral.